GAUAACAAGUGACUAUAGGCAUA
RNAcentral lists this non-coding RNA (23 nucleotides) under Arabidopsis thaliana (thale cress). Lineage: Eukaryota; Viridiplantae; Streptophyta; Magnoliopsida; Brassicales; Brassicaceae. The record is from RNAcentral.